Molecule: ribosomal RNA, 237 nt
Filed under: uncultured Lactobacillus sp.
Lineage: Bacteria; Bacillati; Bacillota; Bacilli; Lactobacillales; Lactobacillaceae
Description: partial 16S ribosomal RNA
Rfam family: Bacterial small subunit ribosomal RNA
Source: RNAcentral
CCUGCCCAAGAGAUCGGGAUAACACCUGGAAACAGAUGCUAAUACCGGAUAACAACAGAUGAUGCCUAUCAACUGUUUAAAAGAUGGUUCUGCUAUCACUCUUGGAUGGACCUGCGGUGCAUUAGCUAGUUGGUAGGGUAACGGCCUACCAAGGCGAUGAUGCAUAGCCGAGUUGAGAGACUGAUCGGCCACAUUGGGACUGAGACACGGCCCAAACUCCUACGGGAGGCAGCAGCC